Mus musculus (house mouse) is the source of this 3544-nucleotide long non-coding RNA. RefSeq annotates it as predicted gene, 34407. NCBI's taxonomy places the organism in Eukaryota, Metazoa, Chordata, Mammalia, Rodentia, Muridae. The record is from RefSeq and is a predicted model, not a curated record. The transcript is spliced from 2 exons.
UAGAAAGAGACUCUGGUUCCUAGAGCAGAGAAGGUCACUUAUGCAGCUAUGGCUCUCAGUACCUUGAUCAGGGUCUCUUAAGGUUUUUGCACUUACAGCCCCUUUUACCACAUGACCUCAGGCAUAUAGGUAUAUAUUGAACAUAUAGGUAUAUAUAGGCAUAUAGGUAUAUAUUUGUUCAAAAAUUGAACAAAUCAAACAUUUACCAAUAAUAAAUCAUAAAAUAACAUUAAAACAAGUUAUAUAUAAAAAUAAUUUUAUCAUUUAUUAAAGACAAAAGCAAAUGUACACACUAGUAAGAUAUAUAUUUCUAAAACAGUCCAACCCAAAGAUACAUUAAUUUGAUACAUGCUAAGAAACAGUGGUAGAAAAAUAUUAAAGGUCAUUGUUUUUCAUAAUUAAACCCUUGUUACUAUAAGAGGAGAACACUUUGCAUACACAGCACAAGCCUUGCAAUUCCAUUUUGGGAAGACAUGUUUUAGGCAGCUUUCCUUGGCAUUUCAUGGCUGCACAUGUUGUGUGCUCAAAACCAAGGAUGCGACAAAGUCUCAUAGUGUGACAUGGGCCAGUGCCAAUGGAAACACCUUCUAUUCAUGGUACAUCUGAUUCUGAUUUAAUGCUUGGUGUUGCAUAUUCAUAAAUUCUUACUGUCUCUAAAUUGUUCAGGACCCCCAGUUAUGCAAUCCCAUAGGUGACCCACAGUUUAAGAAGCUUUGGUUUAGAAGUACUGCACAUUGCAACCACUGCUUGCAACUGCAGUGGGGUUAACUCUCCGAUGAAUGCCUAGCAAUACGGAAGCAAAAUGCCAACAUCCCCAAAUCCUCCUUUCUUAUUUACCCAAAUGAGUGUUUCCAGUUUCAGGUAUAAAGAGGAUUCUUACAAAGCCUUUUUGAAUCUUAGUGAAUAAAUAGGUAGAUGAAGCAUAUUUGGUAUUCAAAUGAAAUGGCAGAGUCUCUGCCACCAAGGGUGGGCCCAGCAUAUCCAGCUGAUUCCAGCCUCUCUCUCUCAAUCAGCACGCAUUCUAGAUGUCUUUAACUCCUGCAGAAAUAAAGGCAGGACAAGUGGAGAACACUGGUCUAAGUACCUGGCCUGCAGGCAGUGUGUUGGGGAUAAAAGCCCUCUUUCAGAAAGAAAUACUUCCAAGCCAUUGCACAAUCACCUUUAUUAUCAUAAUGUCUCAUUGUGCAUUUUGUAAAAACACUUUCUGAGUCCAUCUCAGGCAAAAAUUGCUGCUACUAGGGAGGGGAAAGAAAUCUGUAAAAUUUAAACCAUGGGGCAUUUGUUCAAGGCUCCUGGGUAAUGAUGUCCCUUGAUAUAUAAUUCAUGAUCGCCUUCAAGCUUGGCCUACUUCUGACAAGAGAUCAUAUAUUUUGGAGAAGUCGAGAAGGGGGAGGGAAAAAGCCACUUUGAAAUGGUUCUGCUGCGUUUCUGCUGUUCAAGCAACGCCGAGAUCCAAUGAGAUUUUGGAUCACUCUUUUGUAGCAUAAGGGUUCCCUUGAAAAGCUGCUGUAUUUUAUUUUAUUUUUUUUUUCUCCUCCUUUGAAUCGAAGAGGCAGCCAGACACUCGGUUUCAGUUUUAUCUUCUGUAACACCGGAUAAAAGACAAGGCUGGAUCCAUCUGUUAGCACAUACAGAAAGCAAACUGUGCGACAGCAGGCACACUCACAUACACACGAGCACACAUCUUUGCACAAAGGGGAAAAGAUCCACACUUUUAAAAAAAUGUAUCGUCAGCCAUCGUACCCAAUGCUGACCAGAUAACAGCACUUUUAUCCUUUUAUGGGCAGAUUCAGGAAGAAGCCAGCCUGCCUGCCUGCCUGCCACAAAGGCUCUUUCCCUGAGCUGCCACAGGAGUGGGGGUGCUGAGGGUUGGCUGCAGUCCAGACCCCUCCUGUGCCCCUGCCCCAAUCCUGGCAGUGAUGGGGUUCCAACCUCUAGAAAUCCUUGUGGAUGCCCCUAUGGGUGACUACCCCGACUUAGUGUUCUCUGAUGAUGAACUACAGAGAGAAUGCAGGGCACGGAUGGAGUAAGUUUUCAUUCUCUGGCACAGUGGCCAUUCUCAUGGGUCUGGUCUCCUAGGGACAAUGAUCAGGCAGGCUGCCUGUGCUGAGUUUUACAGAGGCAGAGUGCAGAGCCCCAUCUGGUUGGUUGGCUGCUGUGAUGGUACUGUUUGCUGGUCGGGUUGUGCUGUGUAUUGCCCUCCCUGUGUCUCCAGAGGUGCUUUGCUCAACAGUUCAUGUGAGAGAAGCCAGGAGAGUUCAGACCUGAUGGUCAGUCUCUCAGGCUCCAGGAUUGCCUUGUUAAAGUGGGUGGGGUGAAGGUGGUGAGUCUGAGAGGCACAGGGCUCUUUUGUCUCUUUAAUAGUGAAAUGGUGUUAAUCACAGAGUUCCCCCAAAUAAAUAAGCUUCCAUGUCAUUAAUGAGACUGGGGGAACUCUGUGAAGCAUAGGGUAGGUGGAAGAUGGGGAAGCAGUGGGGAGGUAAGUGCAUGUGAUGGCUGAGCCCCAGUUGCUGCAUUCCCAAGGUUUGUGUGGUUUCUGGUAUUUGGUGGGGGGUCUCACCGCCCAGGCUCCACCCCAUUGUUCUAAGAUCUGUCUCCAUUCAUUCUAUCCUGGUUGCCUAGUGAUCUACUUCUUAGGCAGCUAGAGUCACAAUACUAACAUGUAGAUGCCACUGUGACCAUCCUCCGGACCAAACUUAGGAAUUAUAGUCUUCUUCUCCCCCAAGAGCUCUCUGAUGCCACACUCUGCUCCCCUUUUGUUCUCUGGACUCCUCAAAUCAGUCAUUUGGACCCCCUGAAAUGUAGUAUUUCCCCCAGGAUUCUGUGGAUGGAGAGAUGAAUGAUGCUUGAUACCUACCUCCUGCCAUGACGAUGGACCUGUGUGCUCCAAGAGACAGUUCUUAACCAGCCUGACCUUCAAAGCAUACAAGCCAUGGUUCUCAUCUCCUACCCUGGCCCCCAGUGCCUGGCAGAGUGCCUGAAUAGGAGCAAUUUAUUUGACCUGCAUUUGAUGACUGAAAGUCAAGUUCAUCUCCCUUCUGGCCUGAAUGCAGACAAGGAAAUAUCUUAAUUCUUGAGUACCAGCCUCUUGGGACUCUUCUACCUCUGCAGAUUUUUGGGCCCUAGUGCUGAUAUGCAGUGGAGUCAACCUUCAGGCAAUUACAGUAUCCACUUCUAAUGCAUGGACGUUAGAACGAAGUCAUAAUGUCCCUAAUCUAAGGUCUGCCCCUGCACUGAAUGAUCUGGAUCAUGGAGGAAUCUGUCUUCACUGACAGAGGAGUUUAAGACUUUCUGAAACAGAGCCCAAGUCCUGGCCUCAGAUGACCAUCUCUCCUGUGAAAUGUCCCUGUUAUGUCUCCCCGGGUGCUGAAGCACGCCAUGUUCCAGAGGCAGCUGUCCAAGGGCUGCUGCGCUCAACUACUGCUGUCUGUCAAAAGCUUCCCUGGCUGUGCUUUCUUCCCAGAUGUUUGUCAAAAGGCUUGCCAUUCCAAGUUCAGAAGCAAGAUUAGGGGCUUUCGGGCUCUGAUUAAAGGAAUUAACUGAG